ACUGGGCUCACCUCACAAUGAGACAGUCAGGACAUAUUUAGUUAAAACUUUGGCUGAAGUCCAGAUGUGGAGGAUGUGGAGACAGACGUCCUUCUACCUGAUUGUAAAAAGCAUUUUGAAACUCUACGGAGGAACUACCGCUACAGUCAACCCAACAUGGCGGAUCAGGCGGAGGCCAUGAAGUCUUCUGCCCCGAGUCACCACAGAAGAAAGAGGGAAGACAGUCCUUGCUCCCGAUGAAGAGGACUUCUGGAAGAGCAUCACAGCUGACAUGAUGUCAGAUGAGGAGGACGGCAGCGUUGACGGGGUGCGUGGAUGGAUAGUAUGGCCUCCAUCCUUCCACAGCCAGGAGCUUGCCAACCUGUGUGCAGCCCUACAGGCUGAUGUAAAGUACACAGCUCUACAUCACAGGUGUUUUCACAAUGGACAGCCGUCUGAUAGACUGAAGCCACUGAAGUACAACACGGCAGCAGCCAGAAAACAUUUUAAGCCAGAGCUGAUGCUUGAGACCAGCCUGGAGUGAGAGAUGAACUUGGUCAAAAUUUUUUGUAAAUUUUUUGUUUUUAAAGACAGUUUAUUUUAAUUUUGAUUUCGGAUUUCUGGAACUCAGGACUGUUCAAUAAAGCUCUUGUUUUUCAACAUGUCUCAACAUGUCAUAUUUUUUCCCUUCCAAUAAAUUAAUGUCAUUGAUUGUAGGAUAGCCCAUUGGUUAACAAUAACAAGUAUGCAGGUAAUUAUACACUAUAUGGCCCAU
Amphiprion ocellaris (clown anemonefish) is the source of this 754-nucleotide long non-coding RNA. The record is from Ensembl. NCBI's taxonomy places the organism in Eukaryota, Metazoa, Chordata, Actinopteri, Pomacentridae.